Molecule: long non-coding RNA, 696 nt
Organism: Falco peregrinus (peregrine falcon)
Lineage: Eukaryota; Metazoa; Chordata; Aves; Falconiformes; Falconidae
Exons: 2
Source: RefSeq, a predicted model, not a curated record
CUGCAAUCGCUGUGAGUACCUGUGUUCUGAGGUCUGACCCCUGCAAAGGACUUGUCCUCACCUCACUCACCUCACCCCAGUUAUAAAAGAGUAUCUUUGAGCAAGACAAAUUUUAGAGUGGCUCUUCAAGGACCUCACAUUUGAAUUGCAAAACCAGUUCAAAAUGGGCCAAAGGAAUAACGUUCAGCAGUUACAUCUGCAGUGAGAGGUGGUUAUUCCAAAAAAAAAAAAUGGCAUUGCACAAUAAAGCUGUAUUACAAGAAUAUAAAUAAAGCCUUUUUAAGUGGCCAAAUUAUUUUUUAUGGCUGUGUAUGUGAUAUAGGUAUUUUUGCAAAUGUUAGCCCACAUUAAGAUAAAUGAUUUGUGAGCAUCCUAUGUUAUCAGGCUGUUUGUGACAGAAAAUACAGUGGCUUUUCCCUUCUGGAAGGUACCUGAUUCUGUUUCUCAAAUGGUUUCUAUACGGAACACUUUUAAAACUCCUACUUAUAAUUUUUCAUAAGUACCUAUAUUGAUGAUUUUCUCCUCCUACCCCCUACACUUACCGUCUCUCUCAAAUGUCUCCGGAUGUACUAUGGACAUAUGGAAAGCUCUACUUGAAAUAGAAAAAAGAGACUAGAAGGAACAUUGGUCAUCUAGCGUGCCUUUGUAUCUCAACCUAGUGUUAAAAAGCUCCAAUAAAUAAGGCUUCACAGUCUG